GAUGAAGAACGCAGCGAAAUGCGAUACUUGGUGUGAAUUGCAGAAUCCCGUGAACCAUCGAGUCUUUGAACGCAAGUUGCGCCCGAAGCCAUCAGGUUGAGGGCACGUCUGCCUGGCCGUCACAUAUCGUUGCCCAAUGCCUAUUGCAGUGCAAUAGGAAUUUCUAGGGCGAAUGAUGGCUUCCCGUGAGCGUUGUUGCCUCGCGGUUGGUUGAAAAUCGAGUCCUUGGUAGGGUGUGCCAUGGUAGAUGGUGGUCGAGUUAGAACGAUACCGAUCAUGUGCAUGCUCCCCAAAAUAUGGCCUCUAUGACCCACACGCGUCUUUUGACGCUCAUGACGAGACCUCAGGUCAGGCGGGGCUACCCGCUGAAUUUAAGCAUAUCAAUAAGCGGAGGA
This 395-nucleotide unclassified non-coding RNA is filed under the name soil metagenome. RNAcentral describes it as "partial contains 5.8S ribosomal RNA, internal transcribed spacer 2, and large subunit ribosomal RNA". The stretch from base 1 to 122 matches the Rfam family "5.8S ribosomal RNA", at positions 35 to 154 of the family's 154-position model. The record is from RNAcentral.